AGCAGUACUGCUAACUCUGAUAUAUCUGAUAUAGGUAAAAUUGAGGGUAUUUUAGAUAAUUAAGUAUGUUUACAGACUUACUUUAAUAAACUUUUUAUAUAAGUAACUUUAUUAUUUAAGUUAUAUUAAGUCAUUUUCUAAAACAUUUAAUAAAAUGUCCCGAAUUGUUUAUCUUUGUUUGUCAAGCAAUAUUAAGUGCAUACACACAGUAGAAUGUCAUGUGGACCAGACAUGCAUGUCCUCAGAGAUUUUCAACAAUUUAGUUUAGUUUUAAGUUUAAAGUACAAUUUUUUACAGCCUUGCAUUGACAUCUUCUGGGGAAGUUUGUGAUGGCAGAAAGCCCCGUAACUAUGUAUAAGAAAGAAGCUUCCUCAUUUCCUAAUAUAUAUGCCAUCUCACCACAUGCUCAAUUCUAUAGCUUAGCAUACAGCUCUGGAUAGUCUUUAAGUUAAUAUUAGUAUAGAUUCAUUGUUCUAUUCACCAAGUAAAAAAGAUAUUUUUCUAGAUUAAAUAUGUGAUGAAAAUCCAACACUUUAUAAUUUUAAAUAAAAUGCAAACCCCAUUUUUAAAAAAGAUUACUUUGGUCCUACUACUUGUGUGUUGUCAUAUUAUUUUUCAAAUGUAUGCACUGAGAUAACUUACCUAGUUUACUUUUCAUAAGCAAUUUAAACAUAUGUAUGAAAUACAAUUUUAAAACCACACAUAUAUUAGGAUACAUGGUAAUGAGUUCUUUAAAAAGCCAUAUUUUACAUUCAUUGUUCUACAUUAAUGAAUGACUUCAAGAAAGAGGCUUUCUAUUCACAAAGUACUGUAAAGCAAGACACACAGGUAUAUCGUGCCAUUAACUAUAACUCAACUAACUGGUUAUAGUUUGAAAAACAUUUACUUUCAUUAAUGCUAUAAACAUAUUUUGUUGAAAUUCAUUAUGUUAAGGAAAGUACUAGGGAUGCAAUCUCUUUGAAAUUAAAAGCAUGUAAGUAUGUAAUAUGAUUUUUAGAGUGAAUAUUGUGUUUCUUAGCACUGGAAAUAAGUUACUUAAAGGUUUAAUCAUGACAGUACAAAUUGUGUAAAAUUAUAUAAAUAGUCUCAAAAUAAUUUAAAAGGAUGGUAUCUGUAAUUUCAAGCUCUGCCAAUCUCCCAGAAUCAUGUUUUUCUAUGAUAUUAUUUUAAAAAAGCAAUGCAUCGUAUUAUCAGUAAAAUGUAAGGUUUCUCUUCCUGACAAAGUUUUCUUUUAGCAAAAGGGUACUGCGAGCACAUCUUUCCUGGUCAAAGUGUGAAUUAGUUCCUUUUCCAGUAUGUGCUGACAGUAGCAGCCACUGUGACUGUGUAUUGGUCCUGUUGUCUGGGAUGAUUUCAUGUGUUUUAGGUGUUGAUUGGAGCAUGUUUCAUUGUCUGAGCGAGCUUUUCAUUUGCUUCCAAGGGAAACUGAAUCAUGCUUCAAGAAUAGCACGAAAAGACUAUUAAGACAAGUAAGAUUACAUCUGGCUUAUAAAACUGGCAUUGGUCACAUUCUGUAUGCCAGUCCUACUUACAUUACUAGUUUACUCUUUGCCUUGGCAUUUAGUUUAUUAGGAUAUUUUACAUCCCAUAGUUUCCUUAUACUCAAUUACACUUGCUAUUCAUGAUUAGUAAAAUGAAUUAAGACAAAUAGACAAAAGAUAAAGUUAGUGAAUAUGACAGGAAGCUGCAGACAAAAUAAAAGGUUCAAUGGAUGGACUUUCAUAGGAUCAUGAAGUAUGUUAGCUAACAGAAACAAACAAGAGAAGAAUUAUCAAGAGAAACGUGUGUGUAUCUUAGUAAACAUACUUCACAUAAACUUGAUUCAAUUAUAUGAGAACAGAUUCUCAAAGGCAGAAACUUACCCUAGGACUAUGAAACAAGUAGACAGGUCAAGGACUGCCCAAACUGUAAUUUGUUGUAACUGGUAUUUAGAUCAUGCCAUGAGAUGCAAUAAUACAGGCUGCUCACAUGUGGGGAACUGGGGCUUACAUUGCAAACUAGACAAGAGUAGGCCUUAGUGAAGAUAAUGCAUCUGAUGUCCUAUCAAAAGCCUGUUCACACGUCCAACCUCAAGAAGGAAACAUUCCCUAUCAGUCAGUGGCUCACACAACCAUUUUCUUUCUCUGUCUUAUUUUAAACACACUGUGAAUACUUGGUGAGCAAAAUGGAGGCUCUAACAGAGAAGUCCGAAGACAGGUCAAGCCUGAUCUAUCUGUACACAUUGAUUGUUAAGCGGCUGAACACUGAGUAUCUAUAGGAAUCAAGGAAAAAUGAUACUAGAACCCGGCUUAGUUCAAACGUUGAUUCAUCUCUUAUUUCAAGUAAUGAAGCGUUCUUCAGCAAUUCUGUCUCCGUAUAAAUUCAUGGACAUUUGAAGAGCUGACCCAAAGCCAAAACAGGGGAACAUUUCACAUCUUAAGGACCCAUGGAAGUAUCCUAAGAACAAAGGCACAGUUGCUUUAAGAAAGCCAAGUUCCCAAAGCACAGCACAAUGCUUCUCGUGUUGAAGAGGCUGUCGCUUGAUUCUACUUAAGAGUGCCAGUCUGUAUUUCAGCAAUCUGGAAAGCUUUGAAAGCCUGGAUCUCCCUGGAUCUCCCUCGCAAAACUAACCAACUUUUGUAGCAGAAUGGACUACUCUAAGGAAGUGUCUUCCGAAGUAGAUGUACUUUCCUAACAACUGCCUAUGAAAAGCUACAUCAAUGGCCUUUGAGCGCUGGGCAUGGAGGAAGCACUGUGUUAUAAGCUGACUUGUGGGGGUGACAGUCCCAAAUAGGCAACUAUGUCUUCAUGGACCUUUUGGUGGUGUAUGCAUUUAUCAGCUUUUUAGCUUCCACUUGGUUAUCUUUAUGUGAUACGUCCUGUGGUUUUAUUUCCAUAUCAACUCGUCCAUUUCAGAAAAUAGCUUCCUUACUUCAGCCAUUUUUUCUCUCAGUCUUUCCAAAUAUAAACUCAGAUGCUUUCCCACAAUGGCUAAAGUUGUUUACUGUUAUAUUUUUAUAUUCAGAGAGGUAAUAAUAAUUGAUUCUUAAAAUGUAUUCAUUGUUACAGAGAUAAACCGAAUAAAAUGUUCAAUUAAUGGUAUUUCAUGAAUCCUUAUUUGCAGUCAUUACUUAAUACGUUAUGUGUGAUUUGUUAAACUCAAUGACUAGUCAUGGAUUAUGGAUCCAUAUGGAGAAGACCCAGACAUGACUGACACAGUGAAGCCUAUUCUACAAAGUAAUUGGCCCGAUGCUCACAGGAAGUUAAACAUCCUUUCUAGUCUUGGGAAAGGCUUUACAAAGACUGUGCAUAAAAUUAUUUAAGAAGUAUUGUCUGUCUCAAUCCCUGGAAAGACACCAUGUUAUCAACACAGAAUUGAGGCAAUGAGUGAACAAAAGUGGCAAAGUUAGCUGAGGAACAAUUCAAAAGAAUGGACAUCAUAAAGCUUAAUCCAAUUUGUCUUCACAUUUUGACGAAAGACUGCCUUACAUUUAUGUGUCACACAGUAGGAAGCAUUGCAUCAUAUAGUAUGACUAAAGAAAUUAUGAAGCAAUGAUUAUCCAUCUCUAUUACAUAUUUAUUACAUAAACUCACAUAAUGUAAUCAGUCUUUGAAGAAUCCAAAAUAUAUAGGUAAUAGUUUUUGUAUCCUGGGACAGUGGGUUAAGAGCCAGGGCAUCCAUGUUAGAAGAGUUAACCAAAAAGAAACUCAAAAUGGUUUGCAUAAUCAGGAAAAGUUUAGAUGAAUGAUGUGUUAACCAUGGUGAGGACCACUCAGAGCGGAGAUGUUGUGAAGACUCCAGGAUCUGGGUCAAAAGAGAUGAAGAGCUAACAGAAUAAAAGACUAAAUUCACCACAUGGAUGAAACACAUCGAAUGUGGCAUCCAACAGAAAACAGAUAUGAUUACAUGCGUAACUACUUCCUGCAUGCACAAUAAUCAGAAAAAGAGGAAUGGGUAACAAAGAAUAGUUUUUUAUUUCAUAUAUAUACCUAUAUAAUCAUAUCAUAAAAUCAGUUCUUACAUGGGAUUUGACUCUUUAAAAUCAUAUGUAAUUACAUUGUUAAUUAAGCACAAAAUUUUCUCUGAGACUUUAUUUUAGUUUAAAAAAUGUUUGUUAUCUCACAUGGUAAGUUAACUUUUCCACUGUCACUGGAUAUAAGCACUCCAUUGUUUGUUUUAGUUUUACUUUUAAAUUUUCUUCAAGGGAACCAUACAUUAAAAUUUCAUCAGCUGGCAGCAAUAAUUGCAUGCAGUUUGCUUUGCAUUCUUCACAAUGCCCUUAGCAGUAGAUUCUAUUAUAAAACUUCUUGUAAACAGUGAAGAGACUAAAUCACAGAGAUGUUUGUCAUCAUGAGCAGGAUUGCAGGAGUUUAGAGCUUUAGUUUCUAACUUGGGAAUGGGAAAAAAGAAAUAUUUUUGCCAUAUUACAGAAUAAAAUGUUUAGUUUUCCUCAGUAAUAGUUCUAUAGCAUUGUGUCUGAUUAUAUAAUUAUGGAUUUAGAAAUAGAUUUUAAUUGAAAUUUGGGUGCAAGCUAUUAAGUUAUUCUAACAUUCAAUAGAACCUAUAAUAAUCUAUUGCUAACAUAAACAAAAGAGACUACAUCCCACUGCUAAAGAUAUACUGAAUUAUUUUAAGAAACCAUGUGUUUUAUACUUAGCAAUGAAUGAGAUUUUCUUCUAAAAUGAACUUAGUGCAUAUUACAAUUCAUAACUCUACUGGGAUAUGUUUGAAAAUGUAUCUUUUCCAGUAUUACUAGGUAUGGGAGAUUUUAAAUUACCCAACAGAGCAAGAACAUGCUCUUUAGAGAAGCAAAUGUUUGCCAGUAUAUUGAACUUUACCCUGUUGUUCAAAAGAAUCAAUUCAUAUUAAUGUUGAAGAAACUUUUC
Molecule: small RNA, 4866 nt
Filed under: Rattus norvegicus (Norway rat)
Lineage: Eukaryota; Metazoa; Chordata; Mammalia; Rodentia; Muridae
Description: uncharacterized LOC103693758
Source: RNAcentral